RNAcentral lists this long non-coding RNA (607 nucleotides) under Trifolium pratense (red clover). RNAcentral describes it as "long non-coding RNA (TPRA_LNC002078)". Lineage: Eukaryota; Viridiplantae; Streptophyta; Magnoliopsida; Fabales; Fabaceae. The record is from RNAcentral.
GACUAUUUAUCUCAAAAUACAAACAUUGUUUUACUAAAUUGAAGCUGUGUCUGGUGCCCGACACAUGUCAGUAUCAUGUCUGGCAUUUGUGUUAGUACUUCACAAAGUAUGACAGCUCAAGCGGUAAGACUGUGAAGUGUGAACCAUCUAUAUCGCCAGUCUAAUUAUCCUUUGUUACAUAAUACAUUUUCCAGUUCAACCACCAAUUGUAGUUGCCUAAACCAAUUGAACCACAAACUGUACCUAUAGCCAUAUCAAUCUCCGAUUUGGUAUUCCAGCAUGAUAUUCACAAUACAAGAUCCAGGACCACAAAACGGGGGAGAGUGCCCUCUUAAAAACAUAUUUCAAAGUAGGAAAAAUCCACGCACAAACCAAGGAAAACAAAGUCAAUAGAGGUAUUGAUACAUCCUAAUUACAAAAGUUAAUCAAGUACUCAACUUGGAUACACCAGUUUAUGCAGUAAUAAUUGGUGAAUAAUAAGCACUAAAAGUCUAAGGUUAUGACCCAGAUCAAACAAUUACUACAAUCAACAAUUACUACAAGUUAAUCAAGGAAAACAAAGUCAAUAGAGGUAUUGAUACAUCCUAAUUACAAAAGUUAAUCAAGU